UCAGAUUGAACGCUGGCGGCAGGCCUAACACAUGCAAGUCGAACGGUAACAGGAAGCAGCUUGCUGCUUUGCUGACGAGUGGCGGACGGGUGAGUAAUGUCUGGGAAACUGCCUGAUGGAGGGGGAUAACUACUGGAAACGGUGGCUAAUACCGCAUAACGUCGCAAGACCAAAGAGGGGGACCUUCGGGCCUCUUGCCAUCAGAUGUGCCCAGAUGGGAUUAGCUUGUUGGUGAGGUAACGGCUCACCAAGGCGACGAUCCCUAGCUGGUCUGAGAGGAUGACCAGCCACACUGGAACUGAGACACGGUCCAGACUCCUACGGGAGGCAGCAGUGGGGAAUAUUGCACAAUGGGCGCAAGCCUGAUGCAGCCAUGCCGCGUGUAUGAAGAAGGCCUUCGGGUUGUAAAGUACUUUCAGCGGGGAGGAAGGUGUUGUGGUUAAUAACCGCAGCAAUUGACGUUACCCGCAGAAGAAGCACCGGCUAACUCCGUGCCAGCAGCCGCGGUAAUACGGAGGGUGCAAGCGUUAAUCGGAAUUACUGGGCGUAAAGCGCACGCAGGCGGUCUGUCAAGUCGGAUGUGAAAUCCCCGGGCUCAACCUGGGAACUGCAUUCGAAACUGGCAGGCUUGAGUCUUGUAGAGGGGGGUAGAAUUCCAGGUGUAGCGGUGAAAUGCGUAGAGAUCUGGAGGAAUACCGGUGGCGAAGGCGGCCCCCUGGACAAAGACUGACGCUCAGGUGCGAAAGCGUGGGGAGCAAACAGGAUUAGAUACCCUGGUAGUCCACGCCGUAAACGAUGUCUACUUGGAGGUUGUGCCCUUGAGGCGUGGCUUCCGGAGCUAACGCGUUAAGUAGACCGCCUGGGGAGUACGGCCGCAAGGUUAAAACUCAAAUGAAUUGACGGGGGCCCGCACAAGCGGUGGAGCAUGUGGUUUAAUUCGAUGCAACGCGAAGAACCUUACCUGGUCUUGACAUCCACAGAAGAAUCCAGAGAUGGAUUUGUGCCUUCGGGAACUGUGAGACAGGUGCUGCAUGGCUGUCGUCAGCUCGUGUUGUGAAAUGUUGGGUUAAGUCCCGCAACGAGCGCAACCCUUAUCCUUUGUUGCCAGCGGUUAGGCCGGGAACUCAAAGGAGACUGCCAGUGAUAAACUGGAGGAAGGUGGGGAUGACGUCAAGUCAUCAUGGCCCUUACGACCAGGGCUACACACGUGCUACAAUGGCGCAUACAAAGAGAAGCGACCUCGCGAGAGCAAGCGGACCUCAUAAAGUGCGUCGUAGUCCGGAUUGGAGUCUGCAACUCGACUCCAUGAAGUCGGAAUCGCUAGUAAUCGUGGAUCAGAAUGCCACGGUGAAUACGUUCCCGGGCCUUGUACACACCGCCCGUCACACCAUGGGAGUGGGUUGCAAAAGAAGUAGGUAGCUUAACCUUCGGGAGGGCGCUUACCACUUUGUGAUUCAUGACUGGGGUGAAGUCGUAACAAGGUAACCGUAGGGGAACCUGCGGUUGGAUCACCUCCUUACCUUAAAGAAGC
Molecule: ribosomal RNA, 1531 nt
Filed under: Salmonella enterica subsp. enterica
Lineage: Bacteria; Pseudomonadati; Pseudomonadota; Gammaproteobacteria; Enterobacterales; Enterobacteriaceae
Also listed under: 1 other name
Description: bacterial SSU rRNA
Rfam family: Bacterial small subunit ribosomal RNA
Source: RNAcentral